Molecule: long non-coding RNA, 444 nt
Filed under: Numida meleagris (helmeted guineafowl)
Lineage: Eukaryota; Metazoa; Chordata; Aves; Galliformes; Numididae
Description: lncRNA (ENSNMEG00000001420.1)
Source: RNAcentral
AUGUCAGAGUUUAUCAGCAAAAUGGCAUGCAGCAGUAAUAGUUGCAACAUAGCAACUCACAGCUCAAGAAAAAUCAGAAAGGCUAUGCAAUUACCGAAUGGCAAGCUCACCUAUAUCACAAAACACCUGUCAAGAAGAAUAUUGCAAAAUCAUCAUCCCUCAAGACUUUUAAGGCGGGCUGAAGAAAGCAAUAUUAAAUAUGUAGCAUGAAACUGGCUGAAAAACAGAUAAGCAACAAAUACCAGAGGAUUGCUAAACUGGACAGAAGAGAAUAUAUUCAAGACAUGGACUUAACAUCAUCAAAUGCAUAGGUGAUCCAUCUUCAUAUUUUGUUUUUGAAGUUUUGAGCAGUACAAGUUGUUGAUAAAACUAGUGCGGCUCAGUCUGUUCUAUUUAUUGCUACUGAAUUCAGGCAAACUUAAUAAAUAUAUAUCUAUCAAGCCA